RNAcentral lists this ribosomal RNA (257 nucleotides) under uncultured Gardnerella sp. Its description in RNAcentral is "partial 16S ribosomal RNA". It matches the Rfam family "Bacterial small subunit ribosomal RNA", at positions 99 to 354 of the family's 1533-position model. Lineage: Bacteria; Bacillati; Actinomycetota; Actinomycetes; Bifidobacteriales; Bifidobacteriaceae. The record is from RNAcentral.
CGAACGGGUGAGUAAUGCGUGACCAACCUGCCCCAUGCUCCAGAAUAGCUCUUGGAAACGGGUGGUAAUGCUGGAUGCUCCAACUUGACGCAUGUCUUGUUGGGAAAGUGUUUAGUGGCAUGGGAUGGGGUCGCGUCCUAUCAGCUUGUAGGCGGGGUAAUGGCCCACCUAGGCUUCGACGGGUAGCCGGCCUGAGAGGGCGGACGGCCACAUUGGGACUGAGAUACGGCCCAGACUCCUACGGGUAGGCAGCAGAA